Molecule: long non-coding RNA, 1544 nt
Organism: Talpa occidentalis (Iberian mole)
Lineage: Eukaryota; Metazoa; Chordata; Mammalia; Eulipotyphla; Talpidae
Exons: 5
Source: RefSeq, a predicted model, not a curated record
GUACCAUAGGUGUUACAUUCUUUGAAGUAAGGGAAUUUAAUUCUGUAUUUGUUUCGUUUAACAUUAAAUGUUCUGAAAGUAAAUGAUGCAGUGUUAAUACAAUUUUAUAAAUUUACCAAACUUAUACACCAAAAAACUGGUGAAUUUUAUGCUGCAUAAGUUAUACUUAAGAUGUCUACAAAAAGUUAUGACUGAGAAUCUCCACUGAAAAUGUGAAUCUAAUAUCUACCAAGUGUAUCCACCUCCAAAUUGAUACUCACUUAUUUCUAGAUUACAUUUAGCACAGUGACCAGCAAAAUGUCUCCUACCAACUAUGAAACCUCUCUUAGAGUACUUGAAGAAGAGACUCAUUCUGUCUUCAGACCUUCAGACCUGCUACCCUCUAACCUCACUACAUAGAUGGCCAAGUGAUACACAUUUAAACCCCAUGAAGAGAUGAUCAUCUCUUUUGUCCCCACACUACAACUAAGAUUUGAGAAGAAAGAACUAUUGAAAUUUAACACAAAAUCAUGAGAAUUUCAGUCUUCAUUUCCCCUCAACCUAGAAGGAGAAAGCAGAGACAAAGAACCAAUACUGUGAGGUGAAGAAAUAAAAGGAUGGCACAGUAGAACAAGUCUGGUUUGGGGAUGUCAUCUCUUUUCUGGUAUUUAGAAAGUAAAUGUUCUGCCAUGAACUGAUUCCCACUCAUAGAAUUAAUGACUUCGGAAACAGCUUUAAACAAAUACUUAACACAGCAAUUCUGUUAUCAAGAAUUCUCUCUUGAAAUUGGAACAAAAUCCUAAAGUGCUGCAUGAAGUGGCAGUACAAGCAAUUUCCUUCAGCUUGGGACACAUGGGUUAAAAAUAAAUGGAGCAUGAAGGUACUGAUGGGGAUAAAAAAGGACUGUAGCCAAGUGGAAAGAGAAAAAAUCUGGGCUUAGUCUGAAGAUCUGAAUGCAAAUUCUCCCUCUGCUACUUACUAGUCUUGUGAUCUUGAUAGAUUUCAAAAAGGAAGGGAUGAAGUCAUCCCUUCUAGGAGAUUUAUUUGAGGACUAAACAAAAUUAAUUUUGAACACUGCUUUUGACGGAUGUUAAUAGAUGAUACCAGAAAAAAACAAGGUUCCAUGGUGUAGGGUAAGUAAAUGAUAAUCGGCUUUUCUGCCCUCCUGCCAUUAGGGUUGAUGAUAGAUCUGUGGUCGUCAAUGCAUGCCUGAUGGCGGGCACCUGGAGUAGGGUGUGGGCAUAUGUAGAUGGGAUUCACCUGGGCUAAGACUGGACUUAUAAGGGCGGCGUCACAGGACGCCAGCAGAAGCAAAGAGAAUGAGAGCGAAAAAGAGAGCGAAAGAGAAGCAGAGAGCAAAAAGAACCAUGGGAAGCAGACCAGAACAGCAGAGCCAAAGAGAACAAAAGAACGGAACAGCAGAGAAGCAAGGCCAUGAGAGAACUCCAAAGAACCCAAAAAAAGUGAAGACUUGCCAGGGGAUUGGGAUUAGGCCAGCCAGCCUCCCACCCUCCUGCCCACCCCCAUCUGCGGUGUACCGGGUAAAAUCCUAAUAAACCCUGCAA